AUCGCGUUGAAAGCAAUGCACAUGAUACCUAUAACGGGUU
Molecule: small RNA, 40 nt
Filed under: Sinorhizobium meliloti 2011
Lineage: Bacteria; Pseudomonadati; Pseudomonadota; Alphaproteobacteria; Hyphomicrobiales; Rhizobiaceae
Description: putative ncRNA
Source: RNAcentral